Molecule: ribosomal RNA, 251 nt
Filed under: uncultured bacterium
Lineage: Bacteria
Description: partial 16S ribosomal RNA
Rfam family: Bacterial small subunit ribosomal RNA
Source: RNAcentral
UAGUCCUGGCCGUAAACGAUGUCGACUAGAUCGUGGCAGCUCUGACGUUGUCAUGGUCGAAGCAAAAGUGCUAAGUCGACCGCCUGGGAAGUACGGUCGCAAGGCUAAAACUCAAAGGAAUUGACGGGGGCUCACACAAGCGGUGGAGCAUGUGGUUCAAUUCGAAGCAACGCGCAGAACCUUACCUGGGCUUGACAUGCUAGGAUUAUCCCUAUGAAAGUAGGGUAGGCCCUUCGGGGUACAACUAGUAC